RNAcentral lists this ribosomal RNA (904 nucleotides) under uncultured bacterium. RNAcentral describes it as "bacterial SSU rRNA". It matches the Rfam family "Bacterial small subunit ribosomal RNA", at positions 1 to 916 of the family's 1533-position model. The record is from RNAcentral.
AGAAAGAUAGAGUUGAUCCUGGGCUCAGAGCGAACGUUGCCAGUGUGUCNUAAGCAUGCAAGUCGAACGGCAGCAGGCCAUAUAGCAAUAUAUGGUGCUGGCGAGUGGCGAACUGGUGAGUAACACGUAAGAAUCUACCCUCUGGUGGGGGAUAACUCAUGGAAACAUGAGCUAAUACCGCAUGAAGCCGAAAGGUAAAAGGAGAAAUCCGCCAGUGGAUGAGCUUGCGUCCCAUUAGCUAGUUGGCAGGUUAAAGGCCUACCAAGGCUAUGAUGGGUAGCUGGCCUGAGAGGGUGGUCAGCCACACUGGGACUGAGAUACGGCCCAGACUCCUACGGGAGGCAGCAGCUAAGAAUCUUCCUCAAUGGGGGAAACCCUGAAGGAGCGACACUGCGUGCAGGAUGAAGGCCCUUUGGGUUGUAAACUGCUUUUGUAGGGGAGAAAUAACCGCAAGGGAUGAUAGUACCCUACGAAUAAGUCCCGGCUAACUACGUGCCAGCAGCCGCGGUAAAACGUAAGGGGCGAACGUUGCUCGGAAUUACUGGGCGUAAAGGGCCGGUAGGUGGCUUUAUAAGUCAGUUGUCAAAUACCUAUGCUCAACGUAGGAGAGGCGACUGAUACUGUAGAGCUUGAGUAGAGGAAGGGAUGACGGAAUACCCGGUGUAGGGGUGAAAUCUGUUGAUAUCGGGUAGAACACCGAUGGCGAAAGCGGUCAUCUAGCCUCAUACUGACACUCAACGGCGAAAGCCAGGGGAGCGAACGGGAUUAGAUACCCCGGUAGUCCUGGCCAUAAACGAUGCAUGCUAGGUAUUGGCACCGCGUUGGUGAUAGUACCGUAGCUUACGCGUUAAGCAUGCCGCCUGGGGAGUAUGCUCGCAAGAGUGAAACUCAAAGGAAUUGACGG